ACACAGGCAGCGACAUCGACAGCUGAUGUGAAGUUUGAGCUUGAGGUUAUGUUAUUCUAUUGUCUGCAUUAAUCCGUGAUUUCUGCUGAGUUGUGAAAGGUUGGUUCUUUAGUGUUGGUUGUGGAAUAGGGUUCUUUUAUAACUUAUAAAACUUAUAACACGUUUUAGUGGUGUAUGUUUGAGCGUGGAGUGUUAGUUACACCAUUAGUAAACUUAUGGAUUAUUUCUUCGAUCAGCUUUGUAGCUUAUAUGUUGUAGUAAAACACUCACAGUGUUACGAAUAUUUGUUACAUAUAUUUUGUGGGUUGUAUUAGUACAAGAUACAACACUUUCAUCAAAGAUUUAUUAGAAUUUUGAGAUGCCUUUCUGUAUUGAGAGAGAAACAGAUAGAUGCUAUGUAAUCAUUCAGCUUCCUGAUAGUGUUCAACUUGUACUGAAACUCUUAAUUUUGUGAUAUCUGUCUUCCACCUAUGCGAAUAAUCUGACUAUAAAAAAACAAUAACUGAUUACAAGACUACAGAUAAGGACAACUGGAGAAACACUAUUAUAGGAGUUCUUGGUCAUGCUGAAUCAUCCAGUGGUAGCAGCUGUAUCUACCAUGUUUAAAAUAUCCCCUCCCAGACACAUUGGAAAUUUGGUGGCAGUGGUGGGAUAGCAUAACGUUGGGACAUGCUGAAAUUCCAUUGAUCAUAAGAACAGUGAAAUGAUUCAGAAGGUGAAAUUAAGUGUUUUAACAGCAAGAAAUAUUGUUUUCAAGUUAGUUGUCAUAAAAUAUGGGAAGAAAAAGUGCUACAAGAAGAUGAUUAAACUGGAUGAAGAAAUCUAGACACCAAGACGCCAAGUUGAGAAAGGACACCAAGAGACGAUGCCACCUUGUAAUCUCCGUCUUCACCUUCAUGUAAUCAGCCUGGUAAAAGACGGGGGCAUGGAGUGAUGAGCUUUGAGCAAAGAACAGAGUGAAGUUGUCAACAUCUGUCCACAGCCUCUAGCAACUAUGGCAGUCGCGAUGGUGGUGAUAUUUGUGAGCCUUUGUUUUGGCAAACCCCAUGAGAAAGUAAAUCUGAACCCACAUAAAAUAAGGUUUGGACAGGUGAAGAAAAAACGUAAAGUUGCACACACAUCUGAGCAGAAUAACAACUAUAAACAACUAGUUGAUGAAGCCAUUGGGAGUGUCAAUGGGUCAAACAUAAUUGGCACAAUCUCAAUGAUAGAGAAAAGAGUCAACCAAGGACCAAUCUCUCUGACUGAUGUACUUGUACAUGGCAUCACAGGAGCCACAAUGCACGUCUAUGGACAAGCAAACCAAUAAAGCUAGGAGACACAGAACUCAUGUGUGCGUUACAAACUUCACAAACUUGUAUUCGGAGGGGUGUGAAAAAUUCAUUGAAAGUUCUCAAACGUCUACAAGAUGCCUUCAGAAGAAAACAACCAGUAUCAGCACGAUUGAUGACUCUGGAACAACAUCCUUAUUAGCUUGACCUGACAACAGCAAAUUUUCAUUUUUUUAUUAAGGAACCUUCGACUUCUCCAAGGGAAGGUGAAUUGCAGGACUGUGAUGGGAGGGUUUUGUAAGCCUUUGCAACCAAACUGUAAGCACCUGUUGAACCAGCUAGUGGUGGAUUCACUGCAGAGAGCGAUACCUGGCAAACUCACGGCACACUCUCCAGCAACCCAUAACACUUACACAUCUGAAAAAUAUUCUGGAAAGAAUAAAGAAGAAUGAAUCAAUGGAAGUUGAAUCUAGGGUACAGAUAGAAGUAAGAAGACAUACAGUAGUUAAAAAGAACUCAGAUGGCAGUAAAGAAGCUGAGAAAUCGGGAAUCUUCGACUUCACCAUCGGAUGGUACAUCUCAGAACUGUCGUGGAAGGGUUUUGCAAGACUGGAACAAAGUUGAUGAGUGUGAAAUCCAACUCAACACUACCAGGAAGCUCCUGGUACCAAUUUUUGGGUACUAAUUACUUUGCCUGCGGCCAGCAACAGCACGUAUGCUAACAUUAUUUAUCAGUCAGUCGAUUUUGGUUGAUUAACUACAUAAUUUGACACUUGAAAUAUGAAAGUGAAAUUCUUACAGAAAAUACUAACCUUUCCUUUGGGAUAUUUGAUUUUAUGUUUGAUUCAUUAAUACCAUCUUUUGGAAACUUCAUAUUCUCAGUUUGAUUUUUAAUAAUUUUUCAUGAGAAUCUCUCAAUUGUGUAGUUGUAAAAGUGUAUUUGUUUUAUCAGUACUGUUUUCUACAUCACCAGUUUAAAUCUUAUUUUCUUGCAAUGGCUUAGUACUAAUAUCUAUGUCAGAAGAAACAACUGAUAUUAGUGUUAUAUUUUUAACAUUUUUUUACAUUCCUCUUUAAUAGUUUUACAGUGUUUUCAGAGUUUUAUAUUGAUAAAUUCCCUUAUCUACUUUUUAUUGUAACUCACAACUGCUCUAAUCUUAUUAUCACAUUUUUCUUUCAAUUUAUCUUCAUGAAUUUUUAUUUUUCCAUCAGAUGUGUCCUUUUCUAGUUUCAAUUCUGAACCACUCUUGUCUUCUAUUCUAUUCUCACUACUUAUUUUUGGGUCCUCUUCAAGAGUUUCCAUACAUUUUUCAGAUAAUUUAUCCACAUAGCCAAUAAUUUCUUUAUUCAAUUCUAACUUACCAUGGUUUCCAGAAAUAUUUACAAAAUCUUUUUCUACUUCAUCUGCCUGAAAUUCUAAGGGGUUUGCAGAUUUCAUAUCUUCAUGAAUGUCUUUCUUUCUUAUUUUACAUUCUUACUCACAACUACUGUCAUCCAUUUUAUUUUCACUCCCUCCAGAACUAAAUUAAUCUUCAGGUAAGUUGUCUGUCACGUCACUGGUCUUUUCAAUCUACUCUUCAUUAGCAGUUUCAUCUCCCGUUUAAUUAGUUUUAACAAUUGGUUCAAUAUCAGUGUUAGUAUUUUUUGUAAGAAUUUCACUUUUAUCUCCUUCGACGAUUUUAGGAUUUUCUUGCUAAAAAGAAUCUUUAUUUUCUUUGUGGUUUAUCUGUAGUACUUCAUCUUCAAUGUCACAUGUUUCAGCUGUGCUGGAAAUUAAGACAAUGUAUAAAUGUGACAAAAAACAUUCUUAAUCAUAGAUAUUUAUAGAUUGGAUGAUGCAUAGGAAUUCCUGUUAUUCUAUAAUAAAAUUAUAAUGCAUUUAGUAUUCAGUGGUGUAAUGAGGUAAUGACCAGGGUAUCCAUUAUUCUUUAUAAGUUAUUAAUUAUCUGUUAGUUUUUUAUUUAUAUGGAACUCUUCAAAAUUAUUAUUGUAUAUAAAUUUAUUUGUGGACUAUAUUUGGAAUUUAGUUUUUGUUGAUAUUCUUGUUUUAAUGAUAUAUUUAUGUUAUUAUUCAUUAUUAAGAAUAUUAAUAUUUAAAAUACCAUGUAGAAGGUAAGCUCUUAAAAUAAUAGAACAUAGACUGUGUUUUCCCCCUCAACUAGCUACUAGCUUGAGGUGACAGUAGCAAUACUGACAAGCAUAUUGAUUAAAUAAAAAAUAUUAUUAUCUUACAAGACGAGACUUUAAGAUAUUUUUCUUUUUCAUUUGAUGGAUGAGUUUAGGACCAUUUGUGUCUCACUUACUAAUUAAUGUUAAUCACACCAAACUGUAGCUUCUGCAAAAACUUAAUAUAUGUGUUGUUUCCUGUUCUCUGUUCAUAGUAGAAUAUAUACAUUUAAAUUAUAAUACGUGUAAUAUAUAUAUAUAUAUAUAUAUAUA
RNAcentral lists this long non-coding RNA (3710 nucleotides) under Homalodisca vitripennis (glassy-winged sharpshooter). Its description in RNAcentral is "uncharacterized LOC124369860, transcript variant X1". The record is from RNAcentral. Lineage: Eukaryota; Metazoa; Arthropoda; Insecta; Hemiptera; Cicadellidae.